GACGAACGCUGGCGGCGUGCCUAAUACAUGCAAGUUGAGCGCUGAAGGUUGGUACUUGUACCGACUGGAUGAGCAGCGAACGGGUGAGUAACGCGUGGGGAAUCUGCCUUUGAGCGGGGGACAACAUUUGGAAACGAAUGCUAAUACCGCAUAAAAACUUUAAACACAAGUUUUAAGUUUGAAGGAUGCAAUUGCAUCACUCAAAGAUGAUCCCGCGUUGUAUUAGCUAGUUGGUGAGGUAAAGGCUCACCAAGGCGAUGAUACAUAGCCGACCUGAGAGGGUGAUCGGCCACAUUGGGACUGAGACACGGCCCAAACUCCUACGGGAGGCAGCAGUAGGGAAUCUUCGGCAAUGGACGAAAGUCUGACCGAGCAACGCCGCGUGAGUGAAGAAGGUUUUCGGAUCGUAAAACUCUGUUGGCAGAGAAGAACGUUGGUGAGAGUGGAAAGCUCAUCAAGUGACGGUAACUACCCAGAAAGGGACGGCUAACUACGUG
This 497-nucleotide ribosomal RNA is filed under the name uncultured bacterium. RNAcentral describes it as "partial 16S ribosomal RNA". It matches the Rfam family "Bacterial small subunit ribosomal RNA", at positions 28 to 507 of the family's 1533-position model. The record is from RNAcentral.